UGUGGUUUAAUUCGAUGCAACGCGAAGAACCUUACCUGGUCUUGACAUCCACAGAACUUUCCAGAGAUGGAUUGGUGCCUUCGGGAACUGUGAGACAGGUGCUGCAUGGCUGUCGUCAGCUCGUGUUGUGAAAUGUUGGGUUAAGUCCCGCAACGAGCGCAACCCUUAUCCUUUGUUGCCAGCGGUCCGGCCGGGAACUCAAAGGAGACUGCCAGUGAUAAACUGGAGGAAGGUGGGGAUGACGUCAAGUCAUCAUGGCCCUUACGACCAGGGCUACACACGUGCUACAAUGGCGCAUACAAAGAGAAGCGACCUCGCGAGAGCAAGCGGACCUCAUAAAGUGCGUCGUAGUCCGGAUUGGAGUCUGCAACUCGACUCCAUGAAGUCGGAAUCGCUAGUAAUCGUGGAUCAGAAUGCCACGGUGAAUACGUUCCCGGGCCUUGUACACACCGCCCGUCACACCAUGGGAGUGGGUUGCAAAAGAAGUAGGUAGCUUAACCUUCGGGAGGGCGCUUACCACUUUGUGAUUCAUGACUGGGGUGAAGUCGUAACAAGGUAACCGUAGGGGAACCUGCGGUUGGAUCAC
This 586-nucleotide ribosomal RNA is filed under the name Escherichia coli. RNAcentral describes it as "bacterial SSU rRNA". It matches the Rfam family "Bacterial small subunit ribosomal RNA", at positions 940 to 1526 of the family's 1533-position model. Lineage: Bacteria; Pseudomonadati; Pseudomonadota; Gammaproteobacteria; Enterobacterales; Enterobacteriaceae. The record is from RNAcentral.